Molecule: long non-coding RNA, 564 nt
Filed under: Parus major (Great Tit)
Lineage: Eukaryota; Metazoa; Chordata; Aves; Passeriformes; Paridae
Description: lncRNA (ENSPMJG00000013626.1)
Source: RNAcentral
AUAAGUAAAUAAUAACAGGACUGUAUUUUCCACAGAAAUGGAGGGAAACGGACAAUGCAGUUCAGACUUAAAAGACAUCUAUGUUCCAUCCUCACCUCAACCAGAAUUAGAAGUAAAAUGGCACUAUGGGUGAAAGGAAACACAAAGAGAAAGACCUUUGGCUUUUCUACAAUGAAGAAAACAUAGGGGUGUUGUCAGAAAGUUAUGAAAGAAAAUCCACAUGUCUACCUGGGAAGAGAACAGCUAUGUUUGACAUAUUCAAACCUAUAAAAGCCCACACUGAUGAUUUUCUCCUUUUGCAUAAAAGAAGAUUUCUCUCUUCCUUCUCUGUUUUACCAGAAAUAAUUCCCACAUUAACAUUUUACUGUUAAACAUUCUUUUCUGGUUUCUUUAUUCUGUCUAUUAAGCUAUGUCUAUUUGCAUUGAACUUUGUCUGCCAAUUAUAAAUCUAAAUUGACAAACCUGAAUUAUGAGAGUCUUCUUUUGUAAUAAUGAGUCCAUUUUUUAAUAUCAAGCUUUAAUCUUUUCCUCACUUGAAUUUAAAUAAAUCAUCUAAUCAAACCA